Long non-coding RNA from Syngnathus acus (greater pipefish), 191 nucleotides. RefSeq lists it as uncharacterized. The record is from RefSeq and is a predicted model, not a curated record. The transcript is spliced from 2 exons. NCBI's taxonomy places the organism in Eukaryota, Metazoa, Chordata, Actinopteri, Syngnathiformes, Syngnathidae.
GGAACACAACUAGAAGUUCUUGCUAAAGUUGAAACAUAACGCCCUGCAAGCAGCCACAACUACAGUUAUGUUGCGUGCAGCCUGAAGCUUGUCCCCACGGGGGUCGUGGGCGUGCUGGAGCCUAUCCCAGCAGUUAUCGGGCAGCAGGCAGCGGACACCCCGAACUGGUUGACAGCCAAUCGCAGGGCACA